CAGCAGCCGCGGUAAAACGUAGGGGGCAAGCGUUGUCCGGAAUCAUUGGGCGUAAAGCACGUGUAGGCGGCUCGAUAAGUCUGCUGUGAAAGUCCAGGGCUCAACCCUGGGAUGCCGGUGGAUACUGUCGAGCUCGAGUCCGGAAGAGGCGAGUGGAAUUCCUGGUGUAGCGGUGAAAUGCGCAGAUAUCAGGAGGAACACCAAUGGCGAAGGCAGCUCGCUGGGACGUGACUGACGCUGAGACGCGAAAGCGUGUGGAGCAAACAGGAUUAGAUACCCCCGUAGUCCCUGUCUCUUAUAC
RNAcentral lists this ribosomal RNA (301 nucleotides) under uncultured bacterium. RNAcentral's name for it is "partial 16S ribosomal RNA". It matches the Rfam family "Bacterial small subunit ribosomal RNA", at positions 509 to 807 of the family's 1533-position model. The record is from RNAcentral.